Leopardus geoffroyi (Geoffroy's cat) is the source of this 808-nucleotide long non-coding RNA. RefSeq lists it as uncharacterized. NCBI's taxonomy places the organism in Eukaryota, Metazoa, Chordata, Mammalia, Carnivora, Felidae. The transcript is spliced from 2 exons. The record is from RefSeq and is a predicted model, not a curated record.
GCCCUCCCGCUCGGGGGACGCCGCGGCGACACCUGGUGGGCACCGGUGGAAGGCAUCGCGGCUCGGCUGGGCGCUCAGGUCCCCUCUUCUGUUGGCUGUGGGAAAUGGCCCAAGGAUGAGGAAGAGACACCAAGGCCCCAUAAGCACAGAGGAAAGACCAUGUGAAAAGGCAGUACAAGAGCCACCUGUUAAGCCAAGAAGAGAGGCCUCAAGAAACCAACUGACACCUAAACCAACACCUUGAUCUUGGACUUCGAGCCUCAAGAACUGAGAUAUAUUUCUGUUGUGUAGGCCAGCCUCCUGUGUGGCAUUUUUUUAACGGCCACCCUAGAGAAAUAGGGAACCAGCAGGAAGGCAGAGCUGGUUUAAAGAGGAUGGAAGACUGAUCUGGAACAAGAUUGUGAAGUCAGACGCACAAUCAAUUAGUGUCCUUCAGACAUGUGCAUCUAUGGCCUCUGGGUUACCUUCCUAGACAAGAAUCGUUUGCAUCUUAUGACUUUUCUCCCAGGUUACAUUCUUGAGAUAUAAUUAAUAACUAACAAGUCAAAUGUAAUCACUGUCAUAGAGCAGAGUCCCUCAAUAGCAGCACUACUAACAUUGUGGACAGGACAGUUUUGUUGUGGGGCUGUCCUGUGCAUUUGAAGUUCAGCGGCAUACCUGGUCUCUGCCCACUAGAUGGCAGUAGUACGUGUUCCCCCAUCCAGUUGUGACAGUCAAAAAUGUUUCCAGACGUUGCCAAAUGUCCCUAGAGGGAGACAGAAUUAUCACUGCUCUAGUAUAAGUUUGAAUUAAAAGACCCAAAGCCUUA